RNAcentral lists this ribosomal RNA (430 nucleotides) under uncultured bacterium. RNAcentral's name for it is "bacterial SSU rRNA". It matches the Rfam family "Bacterial small subunit ribosomal RNA", at positions 353 to 798 of the family's 1533-position model. The record is from RNAcentral.
AUUGGGGAAUUUUCCGCAAUGGGCGAAAGCCUGACGGAGCAACGCCGCGUGAGGGAUGAAGGCCUCUGGGCUGUAAACCUCUUUUAUCAAGGAAGAAGAUCUGACGGUACUUGAUGAAUAAGCCACGGCUAAUUCCGUGCCAGCAGCCGCGGUAAUACGGGAGUGGCAAGCGUUAUCCGGAAUUAUUGGGCGUAAAGCGUCCGCAGGCGGUCUUUUAAGUCUGUCGUCAAAGCGUGGAGCUUAACUCCAUUACUGCGAUGGAAACUGGAAGACUAGAGUGUGGUAGGGGCAGAGGGAAUUCCCGGUGUAGCGGUGAAAUGCGUAGAUAUCGGGAAGAACACCAGUGGCGAAGGCGCUCUGCUGGGCCAUAACUGACGCUCAUGGACGAAAGCCAGGGGAGCGAAAGGGAUUAGAUACCCCUGUAGUCAAU